Molecule: ribosomal RNA, 490 nt
Filed under: uncultured bacterium
Lineage: Bacteria
Description: partial 16S ribosomal RNA
Rfam family: Bacterial small subunit ribosomal RNA
Source: RNAcentral
GAUGAACGCUAGCGAUAGGCUUAACACAUGCAAGUCGAGGGGCAGCAUGGUCUUAGCUUGCUAAGACUGAUGGCGACCGGCGCACGGGUGCGUAACGCGUAUGCAACUUGCCUCACAGAGGGGGAUAACCCGUCGAAAGACGGACUAAUACCGCGUACACUCCAUCUUGGGCAUCCAAGGUAGAGGAGAUGAAAUUCGCUGUGAGAUAGGCAUGCGUCCCAUUAGCUAGUUGGUGAGGUAACGGCUCACCAAGGCGACGAUGGGUAGGGGAACUGAGAGGUUGAACCCCCACACUGGUACUGAGACACGGACCAGACUCCUACGGGAGGCAGCAGUGAGGAAUAUUGGUCAAUGGGCGAGAGCCUGAACCAGCCAAGUCGCGUGAAGGAUGACUGUCUUAGGGAUUGUAAACUUCUUUUAGACGGGAAUAACAAGAGUCACGUGUGACUCCCUGCAUGUACCGUAUGAAUAAGCAUCGGCUAACUCCGUG